This 294-nucleotide ribosomal RNA is filed under the name uncultured bacterium. Its description in RNAcentral is "partial 16S ribosomal RNA". It matches the Rfam family "Bacterial small subunit ribosomal RNA", at positions 28 to 313 of the family's 1533-position model. The record is from RNAcentral.
GAUGAACGCUAGCGGCAGGCUUAAUACAUGCAAGUCGAGGGGCAGCAGCUCUGUAGCAAUACAGAGGCUGGCGACCGGCAAACGGGUGCGGAACACGUACGCAACUUACCCAUAACUGGUGAAUAGCCCUCCGAAAGGAGGAUUAAUACAUCGUAACAUAAUGAGAUGGCAUCAUUUUAUUAUUAUAGCUCUCGGGCGGUUAUGGAUGGGCGUGCGGCUGAUUAGGUAGUUGGCGGAGUAAUAGCCCACCAAGCCAACGAUCAGUAACUGGUGUGAGAGCACGACCAGUCACAC